GCCUGCGGAGGGAUCAUUACCGAGUUAUACAACUCAUCAACCCUGUGAACAUACCUAAAACGUUGCUUCGGCGGGAACAGACGGCCCUGUAACAACGGGCCGCCCCCGCCAGAGGACCCCUAACUCUGUUUUUAUAAUGUUUUUCUGAGUAAACAAGCAAAUAAAUUAAAACUUUCAACAACGGAUCUCUUGGCUCUGGCAUCGAUGAAGAACGCAGCGAAAUGCGAUAAGUAAUGUGAAUUGCAGAAUUCAGUGAAUCAUCGAAUCUUUGAACGCACAUUGCGCCCGCCAGUAUUCUGGCGGGCAUGCCUGUUCGAGCGUCAUUACAACCCUCAGGCCCCCGGGCCUGGCGUUGGGGAUCGGCGGAAGCCCCCUGUGGGCACACGCCGUCCCUCAAAUACAGUGGCGGUCCCGCCGCAGCUUCCAUUGCGUAGUAGCUAACACCUCGCAACUGGAGAGCGGCGCGGCCAUGCCGUAAAACACCCAACUUCUGAAUGUUGACCUCGAAUCAGGUAGGAAUACCCGCUGAACUUAAGCAUAUCAUAAGGCCGGGAAGGAA
RNAcentral lists this ribosomal RNA (559 nucleotides) under Fusarium solani. Its description in RNAcentral is "eukaryotic LSU rRNA". The stretch from base 170 to 323 matches the Rfam family "5.8S ribosomal RNA". Lineage: Eukaryota; Fungi; Ascomycota; Sordariomycetes; Hypocreales; Nectriaceae. The record is from RNAcentral.